Gorilla gorilla gorilla (western lowland gorilla) is the source of this 148-nucleotide non-coding RNA. It matches the Rfam family "Metazoan signal recognition particle RNA". From Rfam's summary of the family: The signal recognition particle (SRP) is a universally conserved ribonucleoprotein. It is involved in the co-translational targeting of proteins to membranes. The eukaryotic SRP consists of a 300-nucleotide 7S RNA and six proteins: SRPs 72, 68, 54, 19, 14, and 9. Lineage: Eukaryota; Metazoa; Chordata; Mammalia; Primates; Hominidae. The record is from Rfam.
GCCAGGCAUGGUGGCGCAUACCUGUAGUCCCAGCUACUUGGGAGGCUGAGGCAGGAGGAUUGCCUGAGCCAGGGAGGUUGAGGCUGUAGUGAGCUAUGAUUGCGCCACUGCACUCCAGCCUGGGCAACAGAGUGAGACCCUGUCUCAA